AAUAGAUACCCUGGUAGUCCACCCCGUAAACGUUGGGAACUAGUUGUGGGGUCCUUUCCACGGAUUCCGUGACGCAGCUAACGCAUUAAGUUCCCCGCCUGGGGAGUACGGCCGCAAGGCUAAAACUCAAAGGAAUUGACGGGGACCCGCACAAGCGGCGGAGCAUGCGGAUUAAUUCGAUGCAACGCGAAGAACCUUACCAAGGCUUGACAUACACCGGAAACGGCCAGAGAUGGUCGCCCCGCAAGGUCGGUGUACAGGUGGUGCAUGGUUGUCGUCAGCUCGUGUCGUGAGAUGUUGGGUUAAGUCCCGCAACGAGCGCAACCCUCGUUCUAUGUUGCCAGCACGUCAUGGUGGGAACUCAUGGGAUACUGCCGGGGUCAACUCGGAGGAAGGUGGGGAUGACGUCAAAUCAUCAUGCCCCUUAUGUCUUGGGCUUCACGCAUGCUACAAUGGCCGGUACAAAGGGCUGCAAUACCGUGAGGUGGAGCGAAUCCCGAAAAAGCCGGUCCCAGUUCGGAUUGAGGUCUGCAACUCGACCUC
This 543-nucleotide ribosomal RNA is filed under the name uncultured bacterium. RNAcentral's name for it is "bacterial SSU rRNA". It matches the Rfam family "Bacterial small subunit ribosomal RNA", at positions 777 to 1319 of the family's 1533-position model. The record is from RNAcentral.